UCAUUUCCCAGGGCCUCCCACAGCUAGGCAAGUGCUGGACCACUGAGCCACAUCCCAAACACUGGUGUCCACUCUUUCUCCUCUUCCUUUGAAGCAGCUCCUGUGUGGCCCUACAGAGGCGGAAGCAGCCAGGGACCGGUCAGGCUGAUGGGACAAAGAGACUCCCAAUGCAGUGGCUUGGCCAAGAUACAGCGGGCCUGUGGUGACGGCAGGGGACUGGUUCCAGGACAACCCCUCUGCCUACUCCCCAUACCAAAAUCUGUGGACAUUCAAGGACUUUUAGAAAAUGCCAUAGUAUCUGCAUAUAGCCCGAUUCUAGUCUUCCAAAUACUUGAAAUCACCUCUAGAUGAUUUAUGCUACUUAACCCAAUGUAAAUGCUAUUCAAGUAGUUGUUAUAGUGUAUUAUUUUAAAAUUGGUAUUAAUAAACAUUUCUUUUUUAUUUUUCCGAGUAUUUUCAAUGCAGUUGGUUAAAGAUGGAUCAGGAUUCAUGGACAUGGAGGGACAACUAUAGAGGUAUGUCACCCAUACCAGCUCAUGGGAGUCUUCUGCCUGUGAGUUCAAGGUUGCUGCUCUAGAUCUCACUGUGGGUCCCAGGGCCUGCAAGCCCAUUCAUUUUAAGUGCCAGACUGAGGUCGAGGCGCUCCUCAUUUUUUUCUUGCAUUCCAUUGGCAAGAGCAUAGUCACGUGAGGAUAGCUGCAAAGGACACUGGGAAAUGUAGUCUUUAAGGAGGCCAACAUAUACACUGCUAAAACUCUAUUAUUUUGAGCUGGGGUUGCAACUGAGUAGUACAGAGCUUGCCCAGCACAUGUGAGACACUGGGUUUGAUCCUCAGCACAACAUGCAAAUAAAAUAAUGGUCAACAACAACUAAAAAAUAUUUUUUAAAAAGCUCUAUUAUUUCACUGUAGCUUCGAAGGUAAACAUUUUAAGCUUUGUGGGCAAUCUGGUCUCUUUUGCAGCUAUUCCCCUCUAGUGUCCGAGUAUCAAAGCCACCAUAUAUGUUACAGAGAUGAGUGUGCAUUGGUUGUGUUUCAACAAAAUUCUACUUAUAGGGCUGGGGAUGUGUGUGGCUUAUUUGUAGAACUGUUUGCAUGUGUGAGACCCUGGGUUCAAUCUCCAGCACCCUUCCUCCUCCCAAAAAUCUAUUUAUAAAACCAGAUGGAUGCUGGAUUUGGCCCACAGGCCAGAGCUCACCCGUGACCUAGGGAAUGGACAUUGGUGGAUAACUAAUGGUGGGUAAUUAGAAUCUUCUCCAGGUAGGCAUGGCCACAUGACCCCGGCCUAAUCUACGGGACAUAAGGAGGUGUUAGCUGGAGAUAUUUCCUCCCUAAUGAAAACUGAGUCCUGUGAGGAAAAGCAGCUCCCCCUCCAGCCUGCUUUGCUCUACGUCAUGUGAGGUCCAAGUGCUUAGAGCUGUGGCAGCCAUUCUAUAACCAAGAGGCAAGGCCACUGCUGAACCGUGGAAUUCACCCCUGGGACAUCCCACCUCUCAGCUCCUUGUCAUGGGAGAGAAACCCUCGUGGUGUGAGUCACCUUACUUGCAGCCAAACACCUCCCCAACCUGCAGCCCAUCUGUUCCCUUUCCCCCUUUCUGCAAGCUCCCGGCUCCUCUGGCCAGGCUUACUCAGGGACACUUGUCCUAAAUAGCCCACAAAGGCCACAGUAAGUAUGCCCUCUGUGCCAAGAAUGUAGCUGCUUACAAAGGACUUUUCUUCACGCAGCGUCCUGAAUUCUUCCUUGGUGGUUUAAGUGAGAAUCACAGUCACCAGUCAACAGGCAUCUACUGCACGUCCCCUGCGUCACAGAGACUGGGAUCCUUUCCCAGAACAAAUUACCACCAAGGCGAGGGCCCCAACCCACACAACUGUGUUCUCUUAGGGUUCUGGAGCCAGAAGCCCAAAGUCAAGGUGUCAGCAGGACCACCUGUCCUCCAGAAGCUGCAGAGGAAGGCCCCCUCACCUGGGCCAGCUCCCCGCGGCCAUCAGCAUUCCUUAGCCUGAGGUGGCCUCCCUUCACAGGACCUUCUCCUGGGUGUCUGCAUCCCGCUCUCACGGACACUCGCCACUGGAUUUAGGACCCGCAUACAGAGUCCGGGAUGCUCCCAUCUCAAGAGCCUUGACUUAUAUCUGCAAAGACCCUCUUUCAGAUGAGGCCAGGUUCAUGAUUCCAGGGGCGGGGUAGGACAUGGACACACGUUUUGAGGGGCUACCAUUGAACACGCUGCAGAGACUCCAAGAAAUCGGGUGACCUGCCUGACAUAUUGGACCCUGGAUUCAGUGCUGUUACUCCCUGGAGCAAGAAUCAAGGAGAGCACCUGUCUCCAGAAUCAGGACACUUGGGCUGUCAUCUCUGUCCCUUAUUUGUGGCGUGACCUCCGCUUUUCUCCUCUGUGCAGAGCAGGUGCCUUGGGGCCAACUUAGGCCGGCAUGUGUAUUCUGCCUGACUUGCCUGGUGCCUUUCUUUUUUUAAAUUAAACUAGUUGCCUGGGCUGGGGAUGUGGCUCAAGCGGUAGCGCGCU
RNAcentral lists this long non-coding RNA (2520 nucleotides) under Marmota monax (woodchuck). The record is from RNAcentral. Lineage: Eukaryota; Metazoa; Chordata; Mammalia; Rodentia; Sciuridae.